This 430-nucleotide ribosomal RNA is filed under the name bacterium. RNAcentral describes it as "partial 16S ribosomal RNA". It matches the Rfam family "Bacterial small subunit ribosomal RNA", at positions 355 to 776 of the family's 1533-position model. The record is from RNAcentral.
UGGGGAAUAUUGGACAAUGGGCGCAAGCCUGAUCCAGCCAUGCCGCGUGUGUGAAGAAGGCCUUUUGGUUGUAAAGCACUUUAAGCGAGGAGGAGGCUACUUGGAUUAAUACUCUAGGAUAGUGGACGUUACUCGCAGAAUAAGCACCGGCUAACUCUGUGCCAGCAGCCGCGGUAAUACAGAGGGUGCGAGCGUUAAUCGGAUUUACUGGGCGUAAAGCGUGCGUAGGCGGCUUUUUAAGUCGGAUGUGAAAUCCCUGAGCUUAACUUAGGAAGUGCAUUCGAUACUGGGAAGCUAGAGGAUGGGAGAGGAUGGUAGAAUUCCAGGUGUAGCGGUGAAAUGCGUAGAGAUCUGGAGGAAUACCGAUGGCGAAGGCAGCCAUCUGGCCUAAUACUGACGCUGAGGUACGAAAGCAUGGGGAGCAAACAGG